UGUUUUUCCUGGAUCCGCCCCUGAGUCUUGUAGCUAACAAAAAGCUAGCGCUUUAGUGCAAGGCUAACUCAUAUGUUGAAUAGAAAGUUUGUGCGAACAGAUGAUGCUAUGAAAGAUUCUGAAGAGACUGCAACAGCCUUCAAUGUGAGUCAAACUAGCCAUAACUCGAGAAAGAAGCUUUAGUUUGCUAAUCCACAAAUCAAAAUCCAAGAGAACGUGGCUAGAAGCCUAUAGAAGCUGUUAGUUUUCGUCGCAUUGCAACCGUUGAGCAGUUACAGCUGGAACAGACACACAGACACACAGACACACACACACAGUCAGCUUUACCGUAUCCCUCGUGCGGCUACGCCUCGAGGCAUAAUUACAUUUGCAUGUACUUGAGUCAUUAUGCUGAGUCAACACAAGUAUAACAGUUCUUAUCAACUAUGCAUGAAUCAUCACCCAUAAUAUAUAAUUGCCAUUCAUUGUUACCCUUUAUGCUCGCUAAUAUAUAGCUUAUUUAUACUUUACAUGCAUGCGCGGGGUUAUUCACAAUCAACAAUUAUUGGUUGGUAUUAGAGUGUAUAAAAAUUCCCUGGAUUCAGUUUCAAUUAAUUUUUAUGAAAGCUUAGAACGAGACCUUUCAAAUUGUCAGGAUAAAAGUGUUUGCCAAUUUGGCCAUUAUUAUAGAUGUGUAGCUUCCCUUGAAUCCCUUCCCAACUUAUCGAUGAUCACCAUGCAUGCAGGCAAUCAGCCUUGGUUGCCGUCCGUAUAAUGAUACUUUAUCUCUCAAACAAUAAUAUGAGCUUUGAAGUUUAAUAUUAUAUGGCAGCUGAAAGAGUCCCCGACUCCCCGACUCAUUUAUUAAAAGGGGGUUGUAGUUUAACAUCUUUCCACAGCCAAAGUCCUGAAAACUUAGAAAGAAAACUUUAAUUCGAAUUUAUUUUGUGAUUUUAAAAUCCAACAUUUCUUUGGGGCCAUAAAUUUGAAAUUUUUCAUUUCGGCCAUAGACUAGACCACAGGCUAGCCUGGGCCAACUCUCAGUGAAUCACACUCGCUCCAUUGCAUGCUGUUGCUCAAACUUAUUGAGGCAACUCAGUGUAUUAAUUUAUGUGCACGUCGUUUGAGUGCAUGUCCAUGUUUUAGUUAUCUAUCCCAUGGCCAGCCACUAAAAUCUGAUCUUUUUGCCUAUUUGCUACCCAUUUCCAUGCAUGAGUUGACACCACUGGCCGACGAUGUCACCACAGUAACUACUCGUCAUGUGACGUCAUCACAGCGGAGGGUGCUCUCACGCUGCUCUAUAGAACAAGAGUGGUGUGUGUGAUCGAAAGCAGAUGAGCUGGAGUUAGCCAUGAACAAAGUAACAGAUGGUGAGUAGACUGCAUCACGAUAUCAGUGCCCAAUGUCGUGGUGGAAUUUACUGUUUGUGCUAGAUUAGGUCCCUCCUUUAUAGUAUAGCUUUGGUGUACUUGCAAUAUUGAUUGCUGAUUGCUGAUUGUUCAUAUCAACACCAUGCAAUUAUUAUCGAGCUCUAUAGAGUUUGUACAUGCAGUCAUUUAACGUGCAAUUUCAAAAUUUAACCCUUUCCCCGCUUUAGCCGACUAUAGUCGGCAUGGCUACUGAUAAAUUUCAAAAAAUCGUUGUGCACGCUGUGUUGGAGCUAUGCGCACGCUGCAGGUACCAGCACAUGCGCAUUGAGCUGCUCUUCCUCGUGGUAUUUUUAAUAUUUUGCUUCGAGGUACGGUUCGAUCAGAAUUGUCGAAAGAAAAGUGACCGUUUUAUAAUUGCUACAAGAUCUUCGUAGUACAACCUCAGGGAGGUUCUAGGGAAGCUAGAGAGUGAGAAUAUAGAUGCCUAUGGCCUUGUAGAGUGAGAGGACAGUGACUGGGAUCAUAGCUAGGUAGGAAGCUUCCUUUCAGAGGUCAAGCUAAAAAGAAAGAGCCUGAGAAUCCUGAGGAAGACGCACUUGAGGUGGACCAUCUUCCUGAACCUGGUGAAGAAAAUAUUUCCCGGGAAAAGGGUGUCUGCCGAUAGAACCUCAAAUACAAGUUUCUGCAGAUCCUGAUUGAGUCCUGAGUCAGCCAUGUCACCGUGAGAACAUUCUGAACACUUAUAUCAUGUGUUCAGUCACUUCGUAACAUCACACAAUAUUGUUUGUGUACAUAAUUAUAAAUUUUUGUUAACAAUUGUUAUUUGUGGGGUGGUGGUUGGUUGCUAGGCAACAAUGAUGAUUCCAUGAAUGCGACAGGUCCGGUUCUACCUGUGGAACUUUGUUACAAGUGUUUUUAAUAUACGGUUCAUGAGUUAUAAAUUUUUUAAACAAAAUAUGCGAAUAUUCACUUUUAAUUAAAGCAGGGAAAGGGUUAAUACAUAGCUUAAUGUUGGGCUCUUCUUUUUAGAGUGACAAUAAUUAUUGAGUGCCAAUGUGCACUGGAAACUGUAGACUACGUCUAUAUAGCUAUACUUGUUGUGCUGGAUCAACUGUGUACAGAUGUAUGUGAUGGCUGGAGCAUUCUUAACUGGAGGAGCGGGGCUGGUCUGUAAUCGUGUUCUGUAAUAGGAGCCAGCUAGGUCAUCCAUGUAUGAUAGCCUCAGCUGGUCAGGCCUCGUGGUUGGGUUGGUGAUGGGAGAAGCCUUGUGACUAGAUCAGAGUCAGCUAUUUUUCUGGCUCCAUCUGCAUAAGUAGUUGUAUCAACGUUAUCUUUUUCCUGGACGUAAUCGGCUACUUCAAAUUGUUCCUCGUCAUUGGCAUUUGUUAUGUGGUACAUUGCUUGCUGGUUAUUAGCUUGCCAUUUUCUUAAUGCAUAGUUUUCCAUUUUGAGCUAUUUAGCAAACUUUUGAGUAAAGACCGCGGGAUAAAGUAACCUUUGAACCCUAAACUUUUAUUCAUCGCUCGAUGAAUGACCUACCAUCGCUGGAUGUAUAGAGUUGCAUCCCUGGAUAAAUAUGUAAAUUGCUGUAUAAAUAUUUGUCCUCCCAGCAUUUUUUUGUGACGCGUGUAGUGUUAAAACACCACAUAAUUGUUCAUAUUUUUCCCGUCCUCAGACCUAGUGAGGUGUCGUCCUGGAUAAAUAUGUAAAUCGCUGUAUAAAUAUAGAGUUACGUAUACAUCACUCAAUGAUUGUAAUACAUGCAUCGCUCGAUAAAAUACCGCCUGCAACUGGAUUAAUGAUCAACAAUUUUAAAACAAACAGCUAACCAUAAUUAUGGCCUAACUCUAAGUUUAACGGCAGCUGAAAGAGUCCCCGAACCUUUGAUUAAAAGGGGGUUGUAGUUUUACAUCUUUCCACAGCCAAAGUCCGAAAACUUAGAAAGAAACCUUUCAAAUUGUGAGUUUAAAUCCAGUUGGGGCCAUAAUUUGUAAUUUUGGCCAUGGACCAUGUGCUAUAUGAUGGGUUCGGGUUACCCCCUGGGCCAACUCUCAGUAAAUCACACUCGCUACAUUGCGUGCUGUUGCUCAAACUUAUUGAGGCAACUCGGUGUAUUAAAUUAUGUGCACAUUUGAGUGGAUCGUGCAAUGUUACAAUUUACUUAUAAUUAUCUACCCCAUGGCCAGCCACUAAAAUCGAGCGUAUUUGUUACCCAUUUCCAUGUAUGAGUUGACAUCACUGGCCGACGAUAUCACCAUGGUAACUACUCGUCAUGUGACAGUCAUCACAACGGAGGGUGCUCUCACGCUGCUUUAUAAAACCAAGAGGGGUGUGUGCCAUCAAAGCUUUGGUGUCCAUGUGGCAGAAAUAGUGUAGUUCCCUCAAGGCAUCAUCGACGCUGCACGGAGGAAAGUAGAUGAGCUGGAGUUAGCCAUGAACAUAGGAACAGAUGCAGGUGGUGAUAAGGAACCAGCUGCAAAGCGCAGUCGCUCAGAGAGGGUGGAGGGAGAGAGACUGAUACAAUUUGUAUUGAAAGCCAAGGAGCUUGUGGAGGGCUCUCUGCCUGAAGUCGACAAUGGACGACAUGAAGCGGGAGAUUAGUACCAGUGACAAUACUUAUGUUAAGGAAAUUAUUCAAUCCUGUGUUUAGUAUAAUUAUUAUCCAACACUCACAUCUGUCAUUCGUUAUUGCUCCUUGUGAUACAUGUUCUAUACAAUGUAGCUAAUUUACUUGAGUCCACACAAGCUUAGAUCAUGUUUGUCAUAAAUACUGCAAUCUGAUUGGUUAGAGGAAAUGUUCUAUCCAAUUUAGAAAAUCAUGUACUUCAAUAGAAAAUCAUGUACUUCAAUAGAAAAUCAUGUAGCAAAGAUUUGAUCAAGAUAAGAUAAUAAUCAUAAUAAACGUACAUAAUAAUAAUAAUAAUAAGCAAUACUUGACGUCAAUGAGUGUUUCUUUGGUAUUGUUUCCUUUCUUGCUUGUUCUACUUCUUUACUUGACUUUGGGGGAACGAAUUUUCUUGCUUUCUUUGCCACUGGAGCAGUAAGUAGGUUCUCACUGGCUAUGGAGGAGAGCAAAUAGUCUACGAACCUUCGUCUUGCAGGUCAGAGAGAGCAGAGAGCAGAUAGGAAGGUGGGGCUGGUUGCUGCAGCAGAUAUGGAGGUGGGGCUGGUUGCUGCAAAGACAGAGCUGGAGGUGUGGCUGGUUUGGAAGGAAGCAGGGAAGGGUGGGCUGGGUUUCAGUAGUUCGAAACCGUGUAAUAGGGGAACUCAAGAAAGCGUUCGGCACAGGAGGAGGCUCAGAAUCCAUUGUUUGUGCGUUCAAACCAUUGUUGUCAGGCGUAUGAGCGUUGUUGCUAUGAUCUAAAAUGCUUAGACACUGUUUAGGAAGUUUCCACGUGAUUUAGAAGCCCUCAGGGCUAGUAGAACCCUCACUGCGUUCGGGAUUCUACAGAACGCCCUUUGGGCUUCUAAAUCACGUAGAAACUUCCUAAACAG
This is a long non-coding RNA of Halichondria panicea, 4844 nucleotides long. RefSeq lists it as uncharacterized. The transcript has 3 exons. The record is from RefSeq and is a predicted model, not a curated record. NCBI's taxonomy places the organism in Eukaryota, Metazoa, Porifera, Demospongiae, Suberitida, Halichondriidae.